This 253-nucleotide ribosomal RNA is filed under the name uncultured bacterium. RNAcentral describes it as "partial 16S ribosomal RNA". It matches the Rfam family "Bacterial small subunit ribosomal RNA", at positions 524 to 776 of the family's 1533-position model. The record is from RNAcentral.
UACGUAGGGUGCGAGCGUUGUCCGGAAUUAUUGGGCGUAAAGGGCUCGUAGGCGGUUUGUCGCGUCGGGAGUGAAAUCCACUGGCUUAACUGGUGGCUUGCUUUCGAUACGGGCAGACUGGAGGUAUGCAGGGGAGAACGGAAUUCCUGGUGUAGCGGUGAAAUGCGUAGAUAUCUGGAGGAACACCGGUGGCGAAGGCGGCAUCCUGGACCGACACUGACACUGAGGAGCGAAAGCCAGGGGAGCAAACGGG